Molecule: long non-coding RNA, 322 nt
Organism: Daphnia pulicaria
Lineage: Eukaryota; Metazoa; Arthropoda; Branchiopoda; Diplostraca; Daphniidae
Exons: 2
Source: RefSeq, a predicted model, not a curated record
AAACGAAAAUACUGUUGGCUCGUUAUGUACAUCCGGUAGUGGACAGGGGAAGUAAUGUCGAAUGAUUUACAGAACUCCAGCGGCUUUAAGGUCUGCGAGCAUCUUGACGACGUGCUCGGGCAUGGGAGGAGGAGUGGGGAGGUGGUCGCCGGUGGCCUGGAAUCCGUUUUCAUCGGCCACCCAAUUGACGGUGAGGACGACGCCGUCGGGAGUCGUGAACGAGUAGGAGCCCUUGGACACGGUCCCGAUAUCCUCCGGUUUGGGUCCAACUUGUUUCUGGUUGCCACUCUCAGACACUUUGGUCCCAUCGGCAGACUCGAAA